Molecule: ribosomal RNA, 440 nt
Filed under: uncultured bacterium
Lineage: Bacteria
Description: partial 16S ribosomal RNA
Rfam family: Bacterial small subunit ribosomal RNA
Source: RNAcentral
CCUACGGGUGGCAGCAGUAGGGAAUAUUGCUCAAUGGGGGAAACCCUGAAGCAGCAACGCCGCGUGGAGGAUGACGGUUUUAGGAUUGUAAACUCCUUUUGUUAGAGAAGAUUAUGACGGUAUCUAACGAAUAAGCACCGGGUAACUCCGUGCCAGCCGCCGGGGUAAUACGGGGGGUGCAAGCUUUACUCGGAAUAACUGGGCUUAAAGAGUGCGUAGGCGGGGUAAUAAGUCAGAUGUGAAAUCUUGGAGCUGAACUACAGAUCUGCAUUUGAAACUGUUACUCUGGAGAGUGGGAGAGGUAGGUGGAAUUCGUGGUGUAGGGGUAAAAUCCGUAGAGAUCAAGAGGAAUACUCAUAGCGAAGGCGACCUGCUGGAACAUUACUGACGCUGAUGCACGAAAGCGUGGGGAGCAAACAGGAUUAGAUACCCUUGUAGUC